ACCCGUCCAUGCAUCUGUGAAAUGAAAAGGCUUUCUGGGAGGCUAGCUGAGGGCCACGGGAGGUUGUUUGCGCCUUGGCCUAUUUGAAGACGGUGUAUAGGAUUUCAUGUGCAUAGAUUGUGUUUGUGUGAGUGGCAGAAGCUGGUUGGUUAGUUAUGGGAAUGGGGUUGUACUGCAGUUGUACUGGUUCAGGUGUGUAGUAGAUAUGCAAUGGAACAAGCAUCCUUGUCAUUGUCUAUUCAUAGAGUGGGAAGAAAAACAGAGCGAGACUGAUGGAGAUAGGAAUAAGACAGUGACUGCUGUAUACCCAUUUGGUUGGUAAAAGCCUCAGUUGGGUUUAGAAUGGCAGAGUAAAGGCCUGUUCACCACAAUACAAAUGUUUGGUGUGAUAAACAUUUUAAUUUGAAUAAACAGCUGUUAAUGCAUCGAUUUAGACCGACACAAAUUUGUUUGCUGUCAACGCAAUGGAUUUGUUUUUUUUGUUUUUUUAUAGAAAGAUGUUCUAAUCUCUCUUCCAACACACUUAAAAAAAACUCACCUACUAAUAAGGUCACCUACUAGCUGCUGUGUUACAUAAAGCUACAACAAGGUGGUGCUUAAAAUGGGGUGUUUUAAUAAGGAACACUGAAAAGCAGAGAAAGGGUCUGGGAAAAGCUUUCCUGUAACUGUUUGAGAAUAUUCGAAUAGUUUGACUUGCUCUCUUUUCUGUGACAAUAAGCGCCACCUACUGUCAGAGAGAGAAUCUGCAUUUUCAUUCAGCUCAUCUGACCUUUUGUUCUUUUUUAUUUGUUCAAUGAUUUGCAGAGUUUGCCACACCAUAUUUAGAUUUUUCUGUGCUGGUCUAUAAUUUAGGAAUAACUGUUUUAUAAUGAAUAUGAUGUGCCCCUAAAAGACAGAUAAAUACAAACCAAACUGUAACUGGUCGCUAUACUUGUUCGUCAGACUGCUCUUCCUGUCCAAGUAGGCGGCACAGGUAGAAACCUGAAUCUGAGAAUAAAACAUAGAGCAAAGGAAAACAAAUUCCACUUCUCACAAUUAUCCCCAUCAAUUACUGUAGAGAAAAUGGGAAAUACUUCCAAAGAAACUUUACAAGAAAUCUUUCCAAAGAAUUUAACCCUUGAACUCUACAUUCAAAGCUUAUGAAUAUGUCUUUCUUGGCCAGAGUAAGUCUUACUUGUGGAUAUUCUCUGAUAUUCCUACGUCCUUCUUUUACGUAAUAAGGAUUCUGUGACUAAAUAGAUUAGUACUAAUGAUAGUAAUGAUGACAUUUAUAAAGCCAGGCAUACUGCACACGGCUAAGAAUGGACUGCACCACACCCUUCACACUCCUACUCACUCAGUAUUUCAAGCGUAAGAAUUGCUCAAUUUCUGGCAGCACUGGCAGCCCUUCAAAGGACUUGCACAACCAAAAAUAAACUAUUUUGAAAUGCCUAUGAAGAGAGAGGAGGAAAGGUUUAGAACGAGAAGCAGAGGAAAAGCUAAAUUAUUGUCCCCCAAAUCCUUUUCAAGUCGGUUUGAGCUCUAGCGCUGCAGCCACCCACUGAGAGUACAAUUAUUACGGGAUGGUGACUAUGCCCUUGGUGAGACCGUUUGCUGGGUGCAGUCAAGGUACAUUGUUUGACCUGCCUUUUCUCCUCCAAUACCCAUUCUGAUGGACCAGCGGCAAUUAAAGACUCGAGGCCGGAGGCCGGCGUAGUCAGUCAUUAAUGAGGAUCGAUGAUGGACCCAGUGGUGUUCAAAAAGGAAGAGGUCUAUCUCCUGCCCCGCAUCUUUUUCUCUGAUGUGGUAGAGAAAAUGUAUUGUGUAAAUGUAUUUGUAUGGUGAACUAUUACAAUUUAAAAUAUAAUUCAUAUCUGAUACCAAGGCUUAAUUUUCAGCAUCCAUUACUCCAGUUUUCAGUAUAACAUGAUGUUUAGUAAACAUUCUAAUAUGCUGAUUUGCUGCUGUAGAAACAGUUCGUGCUGAAAACAGCUGUGUUGUUGGAAAUAGAAAUCCCUUUUAAUGUAAAAGUCUUUACUGUUGCUUUUAAUCAAUUCGGUGCAUCCUUGCUGAAUAAAAUGAUUAAUUUCUUUAAAAACAAUCUUAGUACAUGGUAGUAUAGACCUCAACAAAAUGCAUCAAAUAUCCUAAUUGAUUACUAAUGUGUAAUUCAUAAUGGCUGCUGGUUUAUAUCCUGCAUCGACUAGGUAUGGUGUGCCCUUGAAAUAUGUGACAUAAUUGUUUUUUUAACAACAUCCUAAAUAAACACACAGCCUACAUUUUUGGAUUAAGGCAUUACAAAAGUAUUGCGGUUGCA
This is a long non-coding RNA of Carassius carassius (crucian carp), 2296 nucleotides long. RefSeq lists it as uncharacterized. NCBI's taxonomy places the organism in Eukaryota, Metazoa, Chordata, Actinopteri, Cypriniformes, Cyprinidae. The record is from RefSeq and is a predicted model, not a curated record. The transcript is spliced from 3 exons.